UACGUAGGGGGCUAGCGUUGUCCGGAAUCAUUGGGCGUAAAGAGCGUGUAGGCGGUCCGGUAAGUCGGCUGUGAAAGUCCAGGGCUCAACCCUGGGAUGCCGGUCGAUACUGCCGGACUAGAGUUCGGAAGAGGCGAGUGGAAUUCCCGGUGUAGCGGUGAAAUGCGCAGAUAUCGGGAGGAACACCUAUGGCGAAGGCAGCUCGCUGGGACGUUACUGACGCUCAUGCACGAAAGCGUGGGGAGCAAACAGG
RNAcentral lists this ribosomal RNA (253 nucleotides) under uncultured bacterium. RNAcentral's name for it is "partial 16S ribosomal RNA". It matches the Rfam family "Bacterial small subunit ribosomal RNA", at positions 524 to 776 of the family's 1533-position model. The record is from RNAcentral.